AGUGAACGCUGGCGGUGCGCCUAAUACAUGCAAGUCGAACGAGAAACUGAAUUUAUUCAGCGGAAAGUGGCGGACGAGCGAGUAACACGUAAGAACCUGCCCUAUACUCGGGGAUAACUGGUCGAAAGAUCAGCUAAUACCGGAUAGUCUCUUCGGAGUAAAGAUUUAUCGGUAUAGGAGGGGCUUGCGGCUUAUCAGUUUGUUGGUGGGGUAAUGGCCUACCAAGACUAUGACGAGUAGCUGGUGUGAGAGCAUGACCAGCCGCGAUGGGACUGAGACACGGCCCAU
Molecule: ribosomal RNA, 288 nt
Filed under: uncultured bacterium
Lineage: Bacteria
Description: partial 16S ribosomal RNA
Rfam family: Bacterial small subunit ribosomal RNA
Source: RNAcentral